AAUCAACGCUGGCGGCGUGCCUCAGACAUGCAAGUCGAACGAUUAAAGCUCUCUUCGGAGAGUGCAUAGAGUGGCGCACGGGUGAGUAACACGUAAGUAAUCUACCUUUGAGUGGGGAAUAACACCGAGAAAUCGGUGCUAAUACCGCAUAACAUCCUGCCUUUGAACAGGCGGUGAUCAAAGCCGGGGAUCGCAAGACCUGGCGCUUGAUGAGGGGCCCGCGUCUGAUUAGCUAGUUGGUGAGGUAAUGGCCCACCAAGGCAACGAUCAGUAUCCGGCCUGAGAGGGCGGACGGACACACUGGGACUGAGACACGGCCCAGACUCCUACGGGAGGCAGCAGUGGGGAAUUGUUCGCAAUGGGCGCAAGCCUGACGACGCAACGCCGCGUGGAGGAUGAAGGUCUUCGGAUUGUAAACUCCUGUUGCUCGGGACGAAUGGCUCCGGCCUAAUACGUCGGAGUGUGACGGUA
RNAcentral lists this ribosomal RNA (471 nucleotides) under uncultured bacterium. RNAcentral's name for it is "bacterial SSU rRNA". It matches the Rfam family "Bacterial small subunit ribosomal RNA", at positions 32 to 477 of the family's 1533-position model. The record is from RNAcentral.